CAUAUGACUUAUUUGUUUCAAUUCAUCCACGUUUAUAAAGAUCAGAAUCGAGAUAAUUAUAUCUGGUUUAUUGUUGGAACAAUCCAUCUGAAUAACUGAAAGAUAAGUUUCUAAUUUGUUUAUUUUUAUGGUUAAUACUCAUUUCACUCCACCCUCAGGGGAAUACACUUUCGGCUAAACAGUCCUGGUUGAUUAUGUUUCUCUUCACGUCUCUUUUUUUUCGCUCCACAGCAAAUUACCAAUUCUAUGAAUUGCAGAAUAGCAUUCAGCGCAGGUCUCCCCGCUGCAGGGGAAGUCUCUUAUAAACACAAGCACGUUCUUUAAUGUUAAUUUAGGGCAUUUUAAUGUUAGAUCGUACUUUGCAAGGCACCAUAACUCUAGACCCACAUACACGUUUUAUAUCGCCCUUAAUUCCCAUUAGUCCCGCAAAUCUCACCGUGGAUGCAUCUAUCCCUCUUAUUUAGUGCGUUUCUUUGCUUUGCAAGUUUUCUUCACACAGUGGACUCUCAUUACGAAACUGAGCGCUUGGGAAAGAUGCCAUCAAAGCCCCACUGCCAGCUGUUGGAGGCUGCCAGGUACAUUCAGGGAUAGAUCCUCCUUGCCGUUUUAUCCCAAUUGAGGCCAGACUGCUGGAUUCCAGGAACUGAGGGCCCUUCACAUCUGGACAAGGAGGUACAGUGACUGGGCCAGCACAAUCUGGCCCAUUGAAAAUGAACUAAUUCUACAGGACACAGUAGUAACAGUGGGCUGAAGCUGCAUCUCAGGAGGACAUGGAAAGGUCAUGUUUCAGGCCCCCUUUAUUCAUGGCUGACCAUGGGUGUCUCCAGGGUUGGACGCCAGGGCGUGACUUUGUUUAACGUGGGGAGACUGCUGCACAGACAGCCAACAUGCAGUCCUUGACAGAUCUGGGUCAGGAUCCAGUGGCAUGGAGUCCAAGACGACCGGCGACCCUUUUCGGCUGCAGCCUUCAUCCACCAACCCAGCCGUCGUGAUGCUCCACUAAGGUUAGCCAUCAUCCUCCGCCUGUUCCACCGUUGAGGUAGUUUGGAUUGCUCUUUAUCAGAGUCCUCCCCUUCGACCUUUACCAUCAUGGGUGGCCCUACCAGGAGUAUAGCUCCAGACGGCAUCGCUCUCAGGAUCUCAGGACCACACGAGCUUCUCCACCACGACAAGAAAAAUACGACCCCAUUGCUGGCCAGCCUAUUGACAAUCAACACCUUGCACAGGGAGGCACUGAAUGAUUGCUAUCAACUCUUGUCAUUAUAGCCCACCCAUUAUAAUGUGAAUUAGAAUUAUUUUAGUGACUUCAAACUGAUUAAAUGAGUGGCACGGUUUCACAGCGGUAGAGUUGUUGCCUUACGCCGCCAGGGACGCGGGUUUGAUCCUGACUCCUGUUGCUAACUGUAUGGAGUUUGUACGUUCUCCCCAUGACUGAGUGGGUUUUCUCCGGGUGCACCAGUUUCUUCCCACAUUCCAAAGACGUACAGGUUUGUGGUUAAUUGGCUUCUGUAAAAAUUAUAAAUUGUCCCUAGGGUGUAGGAUAGUGUUACUGUGUACAGGAAUCACUGGUCGGCGCCGACACGGUGGGCCGAAGGGCCUGUUUAUACGACAAAUCUCUGAAACUAAAACUAAAACCUGCUUACCUGAAUACCUGACUUUUAUCUUGAAUUACCUCUGCCACUUUUUUGGACUAAUUCUGCUUUAAUACACCACUUGUUUGACACGAUUAACAGAAAGAUGAAAACAUGCAAGCCAGAAAGAUAUGGCUAUUUAGAAUUCAUAAAGAAGGACAAGAAGAUAGAAUGGAAAAUUCCUGGGUGAAUAUUUUGUGAAGACUCUGACACUGUUAAACAUUAAACUGGCUGCAAAGUGACAGCAGCCACUUUGAAAAUAUACUUGCUCUGCAACUUCUCAUGAAUGAUGUGAUGUAAAUUUAUGCAUUGAUUAUUGUAAUUAAGUGUAACAUUUCAUCCUUGUAUGACUAUGGUGUAUUGUACUGUGACAACAGCAAACAAUAAACUGAUAGUUGAUAAAG
This is a long non-coding RNA of Leucoraja erinaceus (little skate), 2035 nucleotides long. RefSeq lists it as uncharacterized. The transcript has 5 exons. NCBI's taxonomy places the organism in Eukaryota, Metazoa, Chordata, Chondrichthyes, Rajiformes, Rajidae. The record is from RefSeq and is a predicted model, not a curated record.